GGGGUGCUCGAGUGGCGAACGGGUGAGUAACACGUGAGUAACCCGCCCUUGACUUUGGGAUAACUUCAGGAAACUGGGGCUAAUACCGGAUAGGAGCUCCUGCUGCAUGGUGGGGGUUGGAAAGUUUCGGCGGUUGGGGAUGGACUCGCGGCUUAUCAGCUUGUUGGUGGGGUAAUGGCUUACCAAGGCUUUGACGGGUAGCCGGCCUGAGAGGGUGACCGGCCACAUUGGGACUGAGAUACGGCCCAG
Molecule: ribosomal RNA, 249 nt
Filed under: uncultured Actinomycetales bacterium
Lineage: Bacteria; Bacillati; Actinomycetota; Actinomycetes; Actinomycetales
Description: partial 16S ribosomal RNA
Rfam family: Bacterial small subunit ribosomal RNA
Source: RNAcentral